AUAGGUUACUGUUGCUUACUUGGAGGGAGAGGGGAAAGGGUUAGGUGGCAAGGAGGUUGGUGUGGUGCAAACACACUGGCAGAGCCAAUCUAGUACUCCUGCUAGUGCAUUUGCACCACACCAACCUUCCUGCCACCACACCCCUUUCCCUUCUCCCUCCUAGUAAGCAACACCAACCCA
This is a non-coding RNA of Podarcis lilfordi (Lilford's wall lizard), 180 nucleotides long. NCBI's taxonomy places the organism in Eukaryota, Metazoa, Chordata, Lepidosauria, Squamata, Lacertidae. The record is from the annotation of a GenBank genome assembly.